UAGAGUUUUGGAUCCUGGCUCAGGAUGAACGCUGGCGGUCUGCUUAACACAUGCAAGUCGAACGGAAUCCUUCGGGAUUUAGUGGCGGACGGGUGAGUAACACGUGAGAAUCUGCACUCAGGAUGGGGACAACAGCGGGAAACUGCUGCUAAUACCCAAUGUGCCGAAAGGUAAAAGAUUUAUCGCCUGAGAAUGAGCUCGCGGCCGAUUAGUUAGUUGGUGGGGUAAUGGCCUACCAAGACGGCGAUCGGUAGCUGGUCUGAGAGGAUGAGCAGCCACACUGGGACUGAGACACGGCCCAGACUCCUACGGGAGGCAGCAGUGGGGAAUUUUCCGCAAUGGGCGCAAGCCUGACGGAGCAAGACCGCGUGGGGGAGGAAGGCUCUUGGGUUGUAAACCCCUUUUCUCAGGGAAGAAGUUCUGACGGUACCUGAGGAAUCAGCCUCGGCUAACUCCGUGCCAGCAGCCGCGGUAAUACGGAGGAGGCAAGCGUUAUCCGGAAUUAUUGGGCGUAAAGCGUCCGUAGGUGGUGGGGCAAGUCGGCGGUUAAAGACUGGGGCUUAACUCCAGAAAGGCCGUGGAAACUGCACCACUAGAGGGCAGUAGGGGUAGAGGGAAUUCCCGGUGUAGCGGUGAAAUGCGUAGAGAUCGGGAAGAACACCAGUGGCGAAAGCGCUCUACUGGACUGCAACUGACACUCAGGGACGAAAGCUAGGGGAGCGAAUGGGAUUAGAUACCCCAGUAGUCCUAGCCGUAAACGAUGAUCGUAGGGUUCGCC
RNAcentral lists this ribosomal RNA (778 nucleotides) under Planktothricoides raciborskii. RNAcentral describes it as "bacterial SSU rRNA". It matches the Rfam family "Bacterial small subunit ribosomal RNA", at positions 1 to 826 of the family's 1533-position model. The record is from RNAcentral. Lineage: Bacteria; Bacillati; Cyanobacteriota; Cyanophyceae; Oscillatoriales; Oscillatoriaceae.